This 201-nucleotide ribosomal RNA is filed under the name uncultured prokaryote. RNAcentral describes it as "partial 16S ribosomal RNA". It matches the Rfam family "Bacterial small subunit ribosomal RNA", at positions 524 to 727 of the family's 1533-position model. The record is from RNAcentral.
AACGGAGGGGGCAAGCGUUAUUCAUCCUUAUUGGGCGUAAAGGGUAUGUAGGCGAUGGUACAUAAUUUUUUCAAACUCCAGAAAAGCUUUGGAUUCAAAAAAUUACAAAUUAGUUUGAGAUCAGUAAAGGUUGGCAGAAUUACUAAUGUAAGGGUAGAAUGUUACGAUAUUAGUACGAAUACCGGGAGGCGCAGGCAGCUU